AGACUGGACUUGGUUUACAUUGACAACAACAUCACCUACACCUGGGUUGGCGGAUUACGGUGUCAAAAACUGCAGAGUUCGGUGUAAAAACAAGACCGUCCAGUACACGGUUGGUGCUAUUGACGGCAGGCCUUGCGAAGAGAACACAGGACGGAAAAAGGUCUUGGCUUGGGUAUGUUCAUCAUUUCUGCCACUGCCUACAACCUGGCUUUUUUCGACAAGUACAGAGGAACCACUAUGUCCCUCAUCUAUAUCGCCUGGAGCGCCGCCGACAUGGUUGCUCCGCUGUUGUUGAAUCGCCUCCGCGUCGCCUAUCCUCUCAAGGGAGCGCUGCUGUUGACCGGUGCCCUGAUGAUGCAGGCAGUACCCCUAUACAUGUUCCUCAGCAAUCCAUCACCAGAAAACAUUGGUCACUUUUCCGCUUGGCGACCAGUUACAACGACCGCGUCGGCAAAUACCGUUAGCAAGGAACAACUUCCCCUUCCAUAUCAGUGUGCACCAAGACAUGAUCGCCACAGUGACGCAUCGAGAACUGGGUCAUACAGGACGACCAAGGAGCCGGUAGAGAAGGUUAAAGCAGAAGAGUCACUUCGCCUCAAUGACAAGCGUCAAACAAGAGAUCACUCUUAUGAAAGCCUGCAAGGGACGAGCAAGUGUUCUACAGGUCCUGAUCCUGGGAAUGCGUCGAGCCCGUUGAAGACCAUGGCAAGCCUGCUCCCCACACCCGCCUUCUACAUCCUUCUUGCCACCACUGUAGUGGCAGACUGUACUCGCAGAUGUCGUUUGGCACGACAACUGUAGACUAGGCUGUCGACAAGGGCAUCAAGCCGGAAGCUGCCGCGCAGCUUCCGGCUUUAUUCAUGACCAACGCGGCCUUCAAUGGACUGGUCAUGAUACCAGUAUCCUUUAGCGGUCCUUCGAUUCUGGGUGAGCACAAGCAGCCGCGUCACUUGUCCCGACACGGCUAAAUGGCUAUAGUGCUGUGGCAGUUCGAAGAAACUUUCAAGCCACCAUUGCGGUUAAGAGCUUCCAAGUUUUUCCCCAGCCCUUGAGGUUUAUGACACAGGGAGCUUUAUUGAGGGCAUCAGGGGAGUUCUCGUGGUUCUCGGUAAACCUGCUCUCCCUCGCGAUAUCAACUAGUGCGUCGAUCUGGAGGAAAUGCAACCGCGAGAACUCGGCUACUAACUCUAUAUACUUCCGUGUUGGAGGACCCAAGAAUAAAUUUCGAACGAAUAGUCAAACCGAUGAAAACAACGGUCACGUGUACGCUACAGUAACAGCCGUAGCAUUCGAGCGCUCACAGCUAAUACUUCUACUGACACCUUUCACACAGAGUAACAUAGUAAACGUCACAUUACUGUAUGACUUCCAUUUGUGCGCGAAUUCUGACAGCACAACUUACCCACAAAACCAUCACUGCGAUAUAACUAAACCCUGCCCAUUAUUCUUGUGUAUCGUAUAAUCAGUGAUUUAAUUAAGCUUCGAUGCCAAGGUAACAAUUGCAAAAACAACGCUCUUUUUAAUCAUGGCGUUGCAUCGGAGUAGUGUGCAGUCAUACUGCUUAUGAGCCUAUACGUGUCCAGGACUGUUUUAUCGAGCGGCUACUCGGAAAGGUACGUUUAUAUACGUGAUCUACAUGUAAACACUUAAAUAUGUAGAUAUACUGCCAACUGCACAGCCAUGCGAAGUUCGACAAGGGCCAUGUGCUAGGCAAUCUUACUUUUUUCGGUGAAUGACACAGGACACGCAAUUUUUCACUUCAAUUGUAUUUCAUGCGCAACGAAAACUCCGGCCACACUUACACAUUUUUCAGAACACAAGGUUUCAUAAUAUAUAAGACAGAAAAAUGAUGGAACUGAAUAAAAAAUGCUGUAAGGCCAAGAUACGAGAGUGCUUCAAGUGUUAUACAAUCCGGCUACUUUUAUCAUGCCGCUCACAACACACCAACAAAGGGUAACUGAGAAAACCCUUUGAAAUGGUUUCUUUUUAGCAUAAUACAAGUCUGUCAACUCAAGUUCUUGCAGCGGUGAACGUUUUGUAGAGCACAUAGUAAAUUCAAAGACAACAGGCAUAGUCAAUUCGGCGCAUUUUGUCCCCGUAAACAACGUUGGGAUAAACAAUGACGUCCUCUUGAAUGCCAGGCUCCUUUUCUUUUGAGUUGACAAAGUUAACCGAGCGCAGAACGUUGUCCGAAACGCAGUUACGCAGACUUUAGACUGCUUCUGCGCUAGUGUCCUAUGUCGAUGGGUAUUCCCCUACGACUCCAUGUCAUCAUGUGGCAUUUUUGUAUAUGUAGGUCAUGGGGCUGAUUGGGUUUGGUUCUUGCUGUUAUAGCGAAACAUGCAGUUUUGAGCCCGCAUGCACGACCCUUCUAAAUGGCCUACUGCGCUAUUUACAGGCUUAUUUCGUGACAGCAAAGGUUCGGACGAAGGGUUCUACCAGAUGCCAGCGUGAUCGCCGCAGUUGCCAUCAUGCUCUGCGUGUUCUUUGUUCUUCACUGCACCCACGCCAAGCGAAGUAAGGUGUACCAGGUCAGCACAAAACAGAAGACUGCAGACCCUCACACGGCGCGCAACCUCGCGUUACCUCUUUAUAACACCACGGCAACUGAACUGACCUUUACCACCAUUAGACCAGACUGAAAGAUGUGGAAGGAUAUUGACUAGUACGUAGUGAGCGGACACAGUCCAAGUGGCAGAAUACCAAAUGCCCAGUGAGAGCUUGUUAUGCGACUAUAUGCUUUGCCACCAAGACACAGAAAAUAAAAAAGAUAUGUAGAGAAGCCGCCUUUGUAUAACUCCAUGAAAAUUGCUGUUGGUAAAGCUCAAGUUCGAAAUUGGUGCACCUGUCGAACUUGGUUAUUCCUAGACAAUAUCCCUGGUUUCGCUUCCCAUGAAAAAGCUAUAGGCUUGGUGGAAUAUUAAGCAUUGGGACCGACGUACAUAAGAACGGUAAACUGACUCGACGCCAAGCUUCAAUGCGUACUGAAGAUCCGAAAGACAUAGAAUUGGCAUACUUUCUGCUUAGCUUUGUUGCAGAAUUUUUCGACAAAUAAUGUAUUGAUUGUUCUCGCAUCGCCUGAAUAAAGCGAGAGUUAUUUAAACGAGCACAAGACCACAACCCCGCACCCCUACCCCCCUUCCCAGAGAAAAAAAAGCACGUACGACUGUGAAAUCAGUAUCUCAAAAAUUGCACGUUAAAAGGGCACCUGUAUCUCUUCAGUGAAAAUAUGUGUGAGCGUGCGGCUCUUUAACAAAUUAGUAUCUCAGCGCUCCUUUGCAGCCGCAGCAGCAAUCACAGUUUAACCAACUUCCUUUUGCGCGACCUGUAGGCUGCAUGCCAUGCAGAGGCGCUUGCUGCUGACCUAGAUAAGCGAGUAGCGGUGCACCUAGCAGAUGAGCCGCUUGCUCCUACACGUGCAGCACGACAGCAUGCAUACAGCGCAUGCAAUCCCCACGUGGAAAAUUCCCGAUUCCUGCCAAGGCCGACACAGCGAGCAUGCUGCGAAAGAAAAGGGGUCAGCAAAACAAAGGUUCAGACUGCGUAUAUACUUGCAAAAGGAUAGAAAGUUAGGCGAGUUGGUACGGUAACAUAUUCUUGGAUUGUAGCGUGAAGUGACACACACACGAACUAGAACCCAGGAAGAGCGCUAACUCUCACCUAAAUCUUUAUUGAAACUAUCAACAUAUAUGUAACUGAUUGCAAAUACCGCAAGCAUACGAACAUGACAAGGUCUAAAGACCAUCGUUUAAACAUAUCAAGAGGUACGGAAGAAAAAAAACAAAAAAGGCACUACUUGAGAUUGACACACGUGCCGAGAAAAUAUUGAAAUUCGCUUUCUAACAGAGAUAUUAGAGAUUUUUAGAUUAGGGGCCCCAAUAUUUUGGGGCCCCAAAGAGUUUUGCGGGUGUUAGCGCUGGGGCACGCAGGAGUGAAGAGUUUUAGAAUAGGGUUUUGCGUUUGCGGAUAGCGUCUUGCGCUGACAGCGCCACUACGGCGUCAAAGAAAAACUAUUAGAAAUAAUUAAAUAAAAUAUACCGUUUUAUGAUAGGAAUAGUAAUUUUGACUUGCGUAUAUUCGCGUUUAAUUACAAUUUAGAGGUUAUUCUUCAAGCAGCAAACAAUUAGUAGCGCUUAGUUUUGAGCAACAAAACCAACUUUACGUGCCUUCACCAGCCAAGCUUAGCCGUGUUAGGCCUACGAGCCAUAAAAUCCACAAUUGAAUUCGGAAUCAGCGGCGUCUAAUGAAUCAAUCUUCAUAACACACGCUAGUUGAGACAAAGCGAUAACCGCAGUCACUUCUAGCUUGCGAACUUCACACGUUACCGCGAAUCAAACCCAGUUUGGUGCUAGGUUAGCGCCGUCGCUUCGAUGGGUGCCGCCAUGUUUGUUGACGCAAAGCUUUUGGGGCCGCUAUUUGGGCUCCCGCUAAAUCGGUGAAAUAGCGUUCCCAACGCAAAACCCAAACGCAGUUUGCGUCUCGCGCAUGCGCAGUAGCUUCGACGCUAUUUCUUUGGGGCCCCAAAACGUUUGGGGCCCCUAUUCUAAAACUCUAUUGACGCGUGGCUAACACAAGUCUCUCCUAAUCUUUUCAUGCGAAAUGCCUCAAUUAUUUCGCGUGUAGUUUGGCAUUUGUGUCUUGAAAGGACUUUUGUGUCUUCAAACAAAGGUUUACAACCGCAAUUGAAACAAUGCGACACUAGAUGUGAAGCAUUAUGGUUGUUAAGCGAUCGUUUGUGUUCUUUUAGUCUGAUAUUGAUACACCUGCCGCUCUGUCCAAUGUAAGCUUUCCGGCACUUGAGUGGAAU
This is a long non-coding RNA of Dermacentor andersoni, 4807 nucleotides long. RefSeq lists it as uncharacterized. The record is from RefSeq and is a predicted model, not a curated record. NCBI's taxonomy places the organism in Eukaryota, Metazoa, Arthropoda, Arachnida, Ixodida, Ixodidae.